This 492-nucleotide ribosomal RNA is filed under the name uncultured bacterium. Its description in RNAcentral is "partial 16S ribosomal RNA". It matches the Rfam family "Bacterial small subunit ribosomal RNA", at positions 29 to 507 of the family's 1533-position model. The record is from RNAcentral.
AGUGAACGCUGGCGGUAGGCCUAACACAUGCAAGUCGAACGGCAGCACAGUAAGAGCUUGCUCUUACGGGUGGCGAGUGGCGGACGGGUGAGGAAUACAUCGGAAUCUACUUUUUCGUGGGGGAUAACGUAGGGAAACUUACGCUAAUACCGCAUACGACCUACGGGUGAAAGCAGGGGAUCUUCGGACCUUGCGCGAUUGAAUGAGCCGAUGUCGGAUUAGCUAGUUGGCGGGGUAAAGGCCCACCAAGGCGACGAUCCGUAGCUGGUCUGAGAGGAUGAUCAGCCACACUGGAACUGAGACACGGUCAAGAGUCCUACGGGAGGCAGCAGUGGGGAAUAUUGGACAAUGGGCGCAAGCCUGAUCCAGCCAUACCGCGUGGGUGAAGAAGGCCUUCGGGUUGUAAAGCCCUUUUGUUGGGAAAGAAAAGCAGCAGGUUAAUACCCCGCUGUUCUGACGGUACCCAAAGAAUAAGCACCGGCUAACUUCGUG